Molecule: ribosomal RNA, 795 nt
Filed under: uncultured bacterium
Lineage: Bacteria
Description: bacterial SSU rRNA
Rfam family: Bacterial small subunit ribosomal RNA
Source: RNAcentral
AGAGUUUGAUCCUGGCUCAGAUUGAACGCUGGCGGCGUGCCUAAUACAUGCAAGUCGAGCGGUAACAGGUGUAGCAAUACAUGCUGACGAGCGGCGAACGGGUGAGUAACGCUUCGGAAUCUGCCUAGUAGUGGGGAAUAACUAACCGAAAGGUUAGCUAAUGCCGCAUACGAACUACGGUUGAAAGCGGGGGAUCGUAAGACCUCGCGCUAUUAGAUGAGCCGAAGUCGGAUUAGCUAGUUGGUAGGGUAACGGCCUACCAAGGCGACAAUCCGUAGCUGGUCUGAGAGGACGACCAGCCACACUGGGACUGAGACACGGCCCAGACUCCUACGGGAGGCAGCAGUAGGGAAUAUUGGACAAUGGGGGCAACCCUGAUCCAGCGACGCCGCGUGUGUGAAGAAGGCCUGCGGGUUGUAAAGCACUUUUAGUGGGGAUGAAAAGCUCAGGGCUAAUAACUCUGAGUCUUGACCUAACCCAAAGAAAAAGCACCGGCUAACUCUGUGCCAGCAGCCGCGGUAAUACAGAGGGUGCGAGCGUUAAUCGGAAUUACUGGGCGUAAAGCGCGCGUAGACGGUUUUGUAAGUCGGAUGUGAAAUCCCCGGGCUCAACCUGGGAAUUGCAUUCGAAACUGCAAAGCUUGGGUGCGGAAGAGGGAAGCGGAAUUUCCGGUGUAGCGGUGAAAUGCGUAGAUAUCGGAAGGAACAUCAGUGGCGAAGGCGGCUUCCUGGUCCAGCACCGACGUUCAGGCACGAAAGCGUGGGGAGCAAACAGGAUUAGAUACCCUAGUAGUCC